RNAcentral lists this ribosomal RNA (495 nucleotides) under uncultured bacterium. RNAcentral describes it as "partial 16S ribosomal RNA". It matches the Rfam family "Bacterial small subunit ribosomal RNA", at positions 28 to 507 of the family's 1533-position model. The record is from RNAcentral.
GACGAACGCUGGCGGCGUGCCUAAUACAUGCAAGUAGAACGCUGAAGGAGGAGCUUGCUUCUCUGGAUGAGUUGCGAACGGGUGAGUAACGCGUAGGUAACCUGCCUGGUAGCGGGGGAUAACUAUUGGAAACGAUAGCUAAUACCGCAUAAUAGCAGUUAUUGCAUGAUAACUGUUUGAAAGGUGCAAUUGCACCACUACCAGAUGGACCUGCGUUGUAUUAGCUAGUUGGUGGGGUAACGGCUCACCAAGGCGACGAUACAUAGCCGACCUGAGAGGGUGAUCGGCCACACUGGGACUGAGACACGGCCUAGACUCCUACGGGAGGCAGCAGUAGGGAAUCUUCGGCAAUGGACGGAAGUCUGACCGAGCAACGCCGCGUGAGUGAAGAAGGUUUUCGGAUCGUAAAGCUCUGUUGUAAGAGAAGAACGAGUGUGAGAGUGGAAAGUUCACACUGUGACGGUAUCUUACCAGAAAGGGACGGCUAACUACGUG